RNAcentral lists this long non-coding RNA (243 nucleotides) under Manihot esculenta (cassava). Its description in RNAcentral is "long non-coding RNA (MESC_LNC009132)". The record is from RNAcentral. Lineage: Eukaryota; Viridiplantae; Streptophyta; Magnoliopsida; Malpighiales; Euphorbiaceae.
CUCCACCACCACAAACAGAACCAGUAGCCCCUAUUGCCCAAAUGGUUCCAUCUAGUUCAUCUGGAAGUAAGGUAAAGAUGACUGAGUACCUUAAAUUGGAUGCUCCGAAGUUUAACACAGGAGAUGAUCCAUUUGAGUACCUGAGAUUUGUGAAGAUGAUCACUGAUGAGUUGGGUACAGAUGACAGUAGAGCCAUAGAGAUGGCAGGAUUUACACUGAAGUGUAAGAAGGCUCGAGAAUGGU